GAACCUCAAAGAUCCCCUGAUGAUGCAGCUGCAGGCAUCCUGGAUAACAAUCCAUGAGCAAGACAAGAAAACCAUGGCCAAUUGCUGAUCCCACGUGUGUACUAACUAUCCUGUAAGGAAAACUUUGGAAAAGAAAAGAAGGCUAGUGCAGCUAGAGCAUACUAAUGUGAUGGAGACAAGUACUGGGCAAAUAAUUCACACAGG
RNAcentral lists this long non-coding RNA (204 nucleotides) under Homo sapiens (human). RNAcentral's name for it is "HSALNT0060661". Lineage: Eukaryota; Metazoa; Chordata; Mammalia; Primates; Hominidae. The record is from RNAcentral.